UAGGGGGCAAGCGUUAUCCGGAUUUACUGGGUGUAAAGGGAGCGUAGACGGUUGUAUAAGUCUGAAGUGAAAGCCCGGGGCCCAACCCCGGGACUGCUUUGGAAACUGUGGAACUAGAGUACAGGAGGGGCAGGCGGAAUUCCUGGUGUAGCGGUGAAAUGCGUAGAUAUCAGGAGGAACACCGGCGGCGAAGGCGGCCUGCUGGACUGAAACUGACGUUGAGGCUCGAAAGCGUGGGGAGCAAA
RNAcentral lists this ribosomal RNA (245 nucleotides) under uncultured bacterium. Its description in RNAcentral is "partial 16S ribosomal RNA". It matches the Rfam family "Bacterial small subunit ribosomal RNA", at positions 528 to 772 of the family's 1533-position model. The record is from RNAcentral.